RNAcentral lists this non-coding RNA (436 nucleotides) under Ovis aries (sheep). RNAcentral describes it as "Eukaryotic small subunit ribosomal RNA". It matches the Rfam family "Eukaryotic small subunit ribosomal RNA", at positions 1232 to 1653 of the family's 1831-position model. The record is from Rfam by way of RNAcentral. Lineage: Eukaryota; Metazoa; Chordata; Mammalia; Artiodactyla; Bovidae.
CACAAAGAGUUGGACAUGACUGAGCAACUUCACCUUCACGUUCAUGUUCACGCUGACUUUGAGAUUGUAAUGGGUGGUGGUGCAUGGCCGUUCUUAGUUGGUGGAGCGAUUUGUCUGGUUAAUUCCGAUAACGAACGAGACUCUGGCAUGCUAACUAGUUACGCGACCCCCGAGCGGUCGGCGUCCCCCAACUUCUUAGAGGGACAAGUGGCGUUCAGCCACCCGAGAUUGAGCAAUAACAGGUCUGUGAUGCCCUUAGAUGUCCGGGGCUGCACGCGCGCUACACUGACUGGCUCAGCGUGUGCCUACCCUACGCCGGCAGGCGCGGGUAACCCGUUGAACCCCAUUCGUGAUGGGGAUCGGGGAUUGCAAUUAUUCCCCAUGAACGAGGAAUUCCCAGUAAGUGCGGGUCAUAAGCUUGCAUUGAUUAAGUCCC